GAAACCUUCGCAAUGCGCGCAAGCGCGACGAGGGGAACUCGAGUGCCAUUGCCAUUUUUGGUGAUGGCUUUUCUUGAUCCUAAAAAGAUCAGGGAAUAAAAGCUGGGUAAGACGGGUGCCAGCCGCCGCGGUAAUACCCGCAGCUCAAGUGGUGGCCACUAUUAUUGAGCCUAAAGCGUCCGUAGCCGGUCUUGUAAAUCUCUGGGUAAAUCCUGCCGCUUAACGGUGGGAAUACUGGAGAGACUGCAAGACUGGGGAUCGGGUGAAGCGAGAGGUACUCCUGGGGUAGGGGUAAAAUCCUGUAAUCCUGGGGGGACGACCGGUGGCGAAAGCGUCUCGCUAGAACGACUCCGACGGUGAGGGACGAAGGCUAGGGGAGCAAACCGGAUUAGAUACCCGGGUAGUCCUAGCUGUAAACGCUGCACACUUGGUGUUGCCCCUUCUUAGGGAAAGGGCAGUGCCGGAGCGAAGGUGUUAAGUGUGCCGCUUGGGGAGUAUGGUCGCAAGGCUGAAACUUAA
Molecule: ribosomal RNA, 519 nt
Filed under: uncultured archaeon
Lineage: Archaea
Description: bacterial SSU rRNA
Rfam family: Archaeal small subunit ribosomal RNA
Source: RNAcentral